UUCAUUUAUUUUGUAUUAUUUUUCGUAUUAUUUUUACAAUAUUUCUUUUCUUUUAUUAUUUAGGAAUCUAAUCUGGAUAAUUCUUUUCCAUGAUUUUUCAUUUUGUUUGUUUCUUUUUUUAAUCGAAAUAUUUAUUAUAUUUAUACCAUGGACAACGUCAGUAUCGUUUAUUUUGGAAUGCAGAAUUGUUGGGUGAUGUCAGCCAUGUUGCUACAUAAAUCAUGACAUGAAGUGAUCGUUACCAACCUCUCUUCAAAGGAUCAGCGGCGAGUUUAUGUAUGUUAAUGGAGGAAAUGGAUGGAGCACCUUAAAUAUAAAGGCUAAGUUCCCAGCUCCAUUAUCGUAACCUCUGGAGAACACGACUAUACAAUUACGAUAUUAAUAUUUAUUUUCCUAUUGUUCGACCGUUUGCAAUAAUUUCAUGUUUUCUACUUCGUA
Apis mellifera (honey bee) is the source of this 438-nucleotide long non-coding RNA. RefSeq lists it as uncharacterized. The record is from RefSeq and is a predicted model, not a curated record. NCBI's taxonomy places the organism in Eukaryota, Metazoa, Arthropoda, Insecta, Hymenoptera, Apidae. The transcript is spliced from 2 exons.